This 497-nucleotide ribosomal RNA is filed under the name uncultured bacterium. RNAcentral's name for it is "partial 16S ribosomal RNA". It matches the Rfam family "Bacterial small subunit ribosomal RNA", at positions 28 to 507 of the family's 1533-position model. The record is from RNAcentral.
GAUGAACGCUGGCGGCGUGCCUAAUACAUGCAAGUCGAGCGAACAGACGAGGAGCUUGCUCCUCUGACGUUAGCGGCGGACGGGUGAGUAACACGUGGAUAACCUACCUAUAAGACUGGGAUAACUUCGGGAAUCCGGAGCUAAUACCGGAUAAUAUAUUGAACCGCAUGGUUCAAUAGUGAAAGACGGUUUUGCUGUCACUUAUAGAUGGAUCCGCGCCGCAUUAGCUAGUUGGUAAGGUAACGGCUUACCAAGGCGACGAUGCGUAGCCGACCUGAGAGGGUGAUCGGCCACACUGGAACUGCGACACGGUCCAGACUCCUACGGGAGGCAGCAGUAGGGAAUCUUCCGCAAAGGGCGAAAGCCUGACGGAGCAACGCCGCGUGAGUGAUGAAGGUCUUCGGAUCGUAAAACUCUGUUAUUAGGGAAGAACAAAUGUGUAAGUAACUAUGCACGUCUUGACGGUACCUAAUCAGAAAGCCACGGCUAACUACGUG